AAAUCAUCAUGCCCCUUAUGUUCUGGGCUACACACGUGCUACAAUGGCCGGUACAGACGGACGCAAAGCCGCGAGGCGGAGCAAAUCCGAAAAAAGCCGGUCUCAGUUCGGAUUGCAGGCUGCAAUUCGCCUGCAUGAAGUCGGAAUCGCUAGUAAUCGCAGGUCAGCAUACUGCGGUGAAUACGUUCCCGGGCCUU
RNAcentral lists this ribosomal RNA (197 nucleotides) under uncultured Cryptanaerobacter sp. Its description in RNAcentral is "partial 16S ribosomal RNA". It matches the Rfam family "Bacterial small subunit ribosomal RNA", at positions 1187 to 1382 of the family's 1533-position model. The record is from RNAcentral. Lineage: Bacteria; Bacillati; Bacillota; Clostridia; Eubacteriales; Desulfotomaculaceae.